This 253-nucleotide ribosomal RNA is filed under the name uncultured bacterium. Its description in RNAcentral is "partial 16S ribosomal RNA". It matches the Rfam family "Bacterial small subunit ribosomal RNA", at positions 524 to 776 of the family's 1533-position model. The record is from RNAcentral.
UACGGAGGAGGCAAGCGUUAUCCGGAAUGAUUGGGCGUAAAGCGUCUGCAGGUGGCAGUUCAAGUCUGCUGUCAAAGACCGGGGCUUAACUUCGGAAAGGCAGUGGAAACUGAACAGCUAGAGUAUGGUAGGGGCAGAGGGAAUUCCUGGUGUAGCGGUGAAAUGCGUAGAGAUCAGGAAGAACAUCGGUGGCGAAGGCGCUCUGCUGGACCAUAACUGACACUCAGGGACGAAAGCUAGGGGAGCGAAUGGG